GCUCUUGUAGCUCAGGGGUAGAGCGCGUCCUUGGUAAGGACGAGGUCGGCGGUUCAAAUCCGCUCAAGAGCUCCA
RNAcentral lists this transfer RNA (75 nucleotides) under Verrucomicrobiaceae bacterium. RNAcentral describes it as "tRNA-Thr". It matches the Rfam family "tRNA". Rfam says of the family: Transfer RNA (tRNA) molecules are approximately 80 nucleotides in length. Their secondary structure includes four short double-helical elements and three loops (D, anti-codon, and T loops). Further hydrogen bonds mediate the characteristic L-shaped molecular structure. tRNAs have two regions of fundamental functional importance: the anti-codon, which is responsible for specific mRNA codon recognition, and the 3' end, to which the tRNAs corresponding amino acid is attached (by aminoacyl-tRNA synthetases). tRNAs cope with the degeneracy of the genetic code in two manners: having more than one tRNA (with a specific anti-codon) for a particular amino acid; and 'wobble' base-pairing, i.e. permitting non-standard base-pairing at the 3rd anti-codon position. RNAcentral also lists the same sequence under 5 other names. The record is from RNAcentral. Lineage: Bacteria; Pseudomonadati; Verrucomicrobiota; Verrucomicrobiia; Verrucomicrobiales; Verrucomicrobiaceae.